Non-coding RNA from Triticum urartu, 115 nucleotides. The record is from Rfam. NCBI's taxonomy places the organism in Eukaryota, Viridiplantae, Streptophyta, Magnoliopsida, Poales, Poaceae.
CAUGUACUCCCUCAGUUUGGAAUUACUUGUCCCGGAUAUGGAUGCAUCUAGAACUAAAAUACAUCUAGAUACAUCCAUUUCUGCGACAAGUAAUUUCGAACGGAGGGAGUAUGAU